RNAcentral lists this long non-coding RNA (766 nucleotides) under Elaeis guineensis (African oil palm). Its description in RNAcentral is "long non-coding RNA (EGUI_LNC077265)". Lineage: Eukaryota; Viridiplantae; Streptophyta; Magnoliopsida; Arecales; Arecaceae. The record is from RNAcentral.
UGAAGUGUAUUAAUUAUUCAAGUCGAAGUUCGGAUUUUUAAAUUAAAUUAAGACAUCUUGCUAAUGUUAAAUUUUGAAUGACUUAUACAAGGGACAAGAUUUUGUAUAGAUUUAUUGAUUAAUAUUAAGGAUUGUAAUGAAGGGAGUUCUAUAAGAAAUAAUCAAGUUGAUUCUACUUAAGGAUGCUGGCUUGAGUUCUUCUAGUUUGUCAAGUUAGAAUUAAUUCUUUUAAAAAGGAAGAUUAAUUUAGAAAUUAUCUAAAUGAUUGUAAGAUAAAUCUAAGGUUAACUCCAAUUGAUUCUAGAUAUGUUAGAUUCUUGAAGAGUGAUGAAACUUAUGCAAUGAUUUCAAACAUAGAAAGUGGAUCAAGAUUUAAUUUUUAUAUGCUAUACCCAAAGGUAGUAAAGAUAAAGAAAUUUAAAAUUUUGCCCUAAGUCUUAUAUGAAAUUUGAAGGUUAGAUGUAUCCUGGAUUGAUCUAACAUAUGAGGAUAUUUUUAUCUUUGAUAGACUUAUAUAAUUGAUAAAUUAAGAUCAGAGUGUGCAGCAAAAGCGUGAUGGAUUAAAUUGAUUAGAAAUAUUAAUCUUUAAAAUCAAAAGAUAUUAUGAUGAAAUAUAUUAGUUGCAAAUAAGGAAGGAUUUUAUUGAUAAUGAAAGGAUACUAUAAAUUUUGAUCUAAUCUGAUCAUAGCCGGAUAAUCUUGUCAGUAGGUUGCUUCAUUGUAGAUAAUGCCAAGAAAUUCUAGAUAUCUCAAGUUUAUUAAUAGCU